Molecule: small nucleolar RNA, 450 nt
Filed under: Lachancea lanzarotensis
Lineage: Eukaryota; Fungi; Ascomycota; Saccharomycetes; Saccharomycetales; Saccharomycetaceae
Description: Small nucleolar RNA snR30
Rfam family: Small nucleolar RNA snR30
Source: Rfam by way of RNAcentral
GACCUCGGCCAGAGAAAUACUCCCACUUUUCUUCCGAAAACUGUGGAGCCGUUUCUUGCUAUUGCUGCUUUACUGGCCUUGUUUUUGUCGAGUUUUCGGCGCUCGAGAGGCAAAGUUUCAAGGAACCACUGUUUUUCGGGAUCAAAAACGCUUCAUGGCAUCUCCUCCGCUUCGGCGGGGUCUUUGAGUAGCUUUUGUCGUGUUUUUCGUCUCGAGACUACAAACAGUCGGUUGUUGCCAUCGGAUUUUGGUUCGAUGGAUGAGACAGAAGUAGCCCCGUCGACAGGUACCCAGAAGAAGUGGGACGCGUGUAUCUUGAGUUCUCGUUCAUUUUAGGAUGUUCGGUCGAGCUCGAUCGCCUUUGUGUCGUUCCACCGCGGUAUAUUCCUAAACACUAUGUAGGUCCUAUGGGCCAGUGAUCAUUUGGGUCAAACCAUACUGCUGACAUUU